This is a long non-coding RNA of Salvia miltiorrhiza (redroot sage), 1032 nucleotides long. RefSeq lists it as uncharacterized. NCBI's taxonomy places the organism in Eukaryota, Viridiplantae, Streptophyta, Magnoliopsida, Lamiales, Lamiaceae. The transcript is spliced from 2 exons. The record is from RefSeq and is a predicted model, not a curated record.
UGUGAAGUGAGAUGGUUUUCUGUUCUAGUGAAGAUGUUUCAGACUUUUAUUCAUUUGUUAUAGUAAAUGGAGUCCGAUUGGGCUGAAAUUUGGUGGAUAGAUACUGGUAAUGUAUAUAUAGCUACUGUAAAAUUUUCAUUUCGUUUUGACGACGGGAAGACUAUGAAAUCCUCCUGCAAACUGUUUAUGCCGCAAAUUUCCAUUGUUUUGAGCAGUAAACUUGUAAAAUUUAUUGUCAUAGUAAACGGGGUCUGAUUGGGCUGAAAUUUGGUGGAUAGAUACUAGGAACAUAUAGAUAGCUACUGUAUAAUUUUCAUUACGUUUUGAUGACGGGAAGACCAUGAAAUCCUCCCGUAAAACUGUUUCUCCCGGAAAGUUUCACUAUUUUGUGUAGUAAACUUGUAAAAAUUUAUUGUCAUAGUAAACAGGGACCAACUAGGCUGAAAUUUGGUGUAUGUUAACUCUGAACAUAUAGGUAGAUAUUGUAAAAUUUUCAUUACAUUUUGAUGACGAGAAGAUCAUAAAAUCCUCCCGCAAACAGACUGCUUUAACCAUCCUAAAAUCUGACAGUGAGCAUUCAUGAGAAAAUAGUUCAUCUUUUAUGUUUUAUUUUUAUUUUAUAACAUUUUGUUCCAAUAUUUUCUUAAGCUUGAUCUAUUAUAAUUGUAGAAGGAUGAAUUAUGCAGCAAAAAUGAUGUAGAUAGAGCUAUCAUGUGGAAGAAAGUACGAGUGCCUAGAAGUGGUGACAUAGAAGACGAGAAGUUGAGAAGUUAAAGAAGACUAUCUAUGAAGAAGAUUGAUAUCGAACUUAUGGCCAAAAAGAUAUUGAUGAAGUUCGUGUUGAGUGGGCAAGCUUGUUGCUGGAACACGUAUAGUAUGACAGAUUUUUAUUUUAGCUAUGUAAUAUGUCAAUACUUGAUAUUGUAAAUUUUGAAUUGAAUUUUGGAUUUGACAUUUAUAUUAAUACUUGCUACAAGAUUGUUGGAUGAAAUAUUUUGAUUUUGAAUGCAAAUGAAAUUUCUUGUAUUUUAA